GCCGGGCGUGGUGGCACACGCCUGUAAUCCCAGCUACUCAGGAGGCUGAGGCAGGAGAAUUGCUUGAGCCCGGGAAGCGGAGGUUGCAGCGAGCCGAGAUUGUGCCACUGCACUCCAGCCUGGCCAACAGAGCAAGACUCUGUCUCAA
Molecule: non-coding RNA, 148 nt
Filed under: Gorilla gorilla gorilla (western lowland gorilla)
Lineage: Eukaryota; Metazoa; Chordata; Mammalia; Primates; Hominidae
Source: Rfam by way of RNAcentral